CUCGAAAGGGAGAGUAAAUGCUAAAAUUAAGUGUUACAUAAUGUUUUUUUGCAAGAUUAAUUUUAAGUGGGAGAUUUAGUAGUGAUUAAUGUUUUGUUAUGCUAAUUUAGAAGAGUUUCUGUUAAGGUGGGUUUUUUGAGAGUGGUGACAAGUGGUGCAUGUGGCUUGGUUUGAGUAUGUUAAAUGCUUUAUAUUUCUGCACUCAUUCAGCAAGUGCUAUACCAUGCUAUUGUUAACAUGUUAGCAAAUUAGCAAGUUGCCAUUUUUUUUUAGCUAGCUAAGUUUAAACUAAUAAAAAUGUUCACAUUGAGGUUACAUGAAAAUUUUAAGUUAAAUGUAUGAAUUAGUGUACUCAAACUUUUCAAGUUAAGAAUAAUUAAAAUUAUGAGUUAAAAUUAAAAUCUGCCAGUUCUGCUUACUUAAACUUUGAUUUUUUUUAACUUAAAAAUUUUGAGGCAACUGAUUGCCUCAGAUUUUUUUUUUUUUUUUUUUUUUUUUGAGUUUUGCCAACUUAUUUGGGCUUACAGUGUUGGAUAACAUUAAUCAAUAGCCAAAUAGCUAUUUAGGCAAACAUAAGCAUUAGCAUUGUUUUGGCAAACUCAUAAUCAGGCAAACCCCCCCAAAAUACUAUGUCACCUGGAAAUGUAUCGCAUUACUAAAGUUUUAUAUGGGUUGUGAAUAUUGUUUCAUGUUGACUUAAUUAUUUUAUGCAAUGUUUAAUGUUCAUUUAAAAUUAUGUUAUUAGUAUUUAAUUUAAUUUUAUAUUUAAUUUAAACCAAAUAAAAUUAAAUUACUGGUGUAAAUCAGUGUGAUAAACUUAAUAGAAUUAAUAAUAGCAAUAUAACUUUAUUGAAAUGUGGUUUCAUGGUUAUACAGUUUUGAUUGAAUUUGGCCUUCAAGCUUUUUCUCUCUCCUCCUGACAUUUUUUUUAAACAAAAACAUUGUGAAGACAAAAAAAUAGAUUGCAUAAAUUGAUUCACAUCGUUCUAAACCGUGGCAAUGCAUGGACUGAUUAUAAGAUGCUUACAAAUAUGAUUUUGUGACAUUCAAUGCUGUCAUUUAGCUUUUCAAAUGACAUUUAGAAAAUCAACACAAUGCAAAAGUAAUGCGAGAAGCCAGUGCACCUGCACGCAAAGCAAUGACUGCAGUAUUCCAGUGUUCCACAGAUGUGCCUGUCCAACGAGGAAAAAAGAAGGCUUCAAAGAGGUACUGUUAUAGCCCUGACAUUUCAUACUGUCAGGUCUAGCACCAAAAGCACAAUAUAUGUUAUGGCCACACAUUAAAUAUAAAGUUACAGUGACAAUGUUUAUGUAUAUGUAUUUGGAUGAUACAUCUGAUUCACUAACAGCAUACUGUCCAAUGUCAUGCAUAGAAAACCUGCUGUUUGCCUGUAUUAGAGCUGAAGUGUGUAAUGUCUGCUCUCCUAUAUAGAAUUACAAAAAUGAUUAUUUUCAAAACAGAUCUUCCAAACACUCCUCAUCUGCCAUUGCUCAGACACACAGAUAGUUUCACCCUUAUAUCACACUAUUGGUUUAGCCAAUGCUGUGGUGUUGGGCUGCCUAAGCAAAGCAAGGAUUUGAAAGCACCACAGUGUUUUGUGGGAAAUUAGUCCAUGAAGGGAUUAUGUUAACACUUUAGUUUUUUAGCGUCCAAUUCUCACUAUUAACUAGUUGCUUAUUAGCAUGCAUAUUACUAGGAUAUUGGCUGUUUAUUAGUACUUAUAAAGCAUAUAUUAAUGCCUUAUUCUGCAUGACCAUAUUCUACAUCCCAAAUUCUACCCAAUUCCUAAACUUAACAACUACCUUACUAACUACUAAUAAGCAGUAAUUAGGAGUUUAUUAAUGCAAAAGUCGUAGUUAAUAUUUAGUUAAUAGUGAUAAUUUGGACCAAAGGGUGACCAGGAUUACUUGCAGCUAAGACAAAAGAAACCAUUUAAAAAAAAAUAAUAAUAAUACACACUUCAGCUUUAAAGCAUCCAAACAUAAGUUUAGUACAUAUUUUAGGCACUGGCUGUGCACCGUAUGGCGACAUUGAGGUUCGUACAUUUCGUUAAACCUACCCGAACUGUGCGCGUUGCAGUGAUGUCUAUAUUCUGAAUUAAAAAAAGAUAACAUAAUUAGCAGCAGCUGUGAAAGCAGUAUCUGCUUCUAAAUUAGCAGCAUCAGCACAUAAAGUUUGCUAGAAAAUAAAAAUAAAAAUAGAGAAACAAAGACAAAGGCACCUGCAGCCCAGGUGAGAUAAUGGAAUAGAUGUGGGUGAGAAACUUAAGGGUACGCAAUCAUGUGCCACGUUAAAUAAUAGUCAAAUCAUCAAACCAUCCACAAACAGUCAAUUUUUGUGUGUAAAGAUGAGCAUGAAAACAAUAAGAUGCUCGAAAUAAUGGCUAUACUUGAUACGAUAUAAUGGCUAUACUGCCUUGAUAAUGGCUAUACUUGAUAAUAUAUGUUUAAUGAGAGGAUGGGAUGCAACAACUGUGGCUGGAGCCAAAACUUUUGUAGAAGGUCAAUCAAAAGAAGACGAUAUUGACUUACAUAGUUUCCAAAGCUCUCUGCUGAUUCACUGUUAGCUAUUAAACAGUCAUCAUUGCAAGAGCCAAGUAAAUCUAGAUUUCAAGGUCACCUGAAACUAAGACAAUCAAUGUCCCAGCAAUCAAUGCCCUAAUGCUGCACUGUCCGUCCAAAUGCAAUGCUGAGUGUCUUUUUAUAGUUUCGCUUGCAAAACAAAACCUGAAAACAGCACCUUUGGAUCACAAUGAAACAGAUAAAAAUAAAUGUAUAUAUGUAUAUUUACAGAGCAAGUUACAUAUUGUCGUAAUAUCUAGCUGACUAGUUUCUGUAUAUCACUUUCUCUUGAGUUGAAAAUCCAUGCCAUUAGGAUUGAUUUUGAGGCCAUGCAACACUAUAAUACCAGUGUUUUUUUCUUGAUCAAAGCCGGUAAAAGAAAAGACAAAACAUCUAACACACUCUAUCAAGGUUUUUCUAACACCUGAAAAUGAUUUCAAGAUGACAGACAAGCCAGUGAUUAAAAAUAAUCUGACAUCAUUGCUACAAAUGUGCUUGGGGACAUUAAAGUGUGAACUACAAUAUGGCUCAUUAAGUGGCAAAGUUAUUUGAAUAUCAACUACAUUUCGGACUAUCUCUGCAGCUCGCAGAAUAUACAAUGAACAGUAUGCUCUUACACAACACAUCAAGCAUUUUUUCUGUGGCACUAGGGUGUUAUUUUGCUUAUUUAUCAUUUAACAUGUUCUGUAUGCUCUUUAUCCUGAAGAACUGCAAAAAUGGUUGAAAGGUGAUAUGAGAUGAAAAAAGGAAAAGCCAUUGAACAACAGUAGACUAUAAAUAACAAAAUAUGGCAUGUAGAGACAUUCAUCUUGUCUUCAAAAGCUUUGCAGCAGGAUAAUCGUGAAGGAGUUGAUACAAGUGUUGUCCAUACAUACGUGUUUUGGAUCCACACACAACUAUCGACACAGAAGCAAGCAGUUUUCAAUGACAUUCCCAGCUGAUCACUAUAAUAACACUAAAAUAAUAGACAACCGUCUUGAAUCGGUGAAUAUUGGUGUUCGUUAACAAGCAGCAGAGUGGAUGAAACUCCUGUGAGUAUUCUUUGCAUCGUAUACAUGUACUGAAUGUGACGGCAAACCUUUAUAACAGCAGAUGAAGCACACAAAUGACAUUUCUUUGGCGAAGCUUGGCUUUGAGAGUAAGAUGUUGACUGAAAUAUAUUGACACUCAUGUGCUGUUUAUUUGUGUUCCGCAGUUCCGUAUAAAUACUUGGCUCCUGCUCCGGAUAAGGUGUUGGAUGAUAUAGAUGACUCCAUGCGAACACUGGUGAAUACUUGGAUUGUGGACGGACCUGGACUAUCAAUGAGAUAUGUAGGACGUCCAAAUUGACAAUAUUCAGUUUUCAUCAACGGUCAAGACAAGAAGUCUUCAUCAAAUUAAGUACACACUCUCGCUGCUUGAGUUUGAGCCAGGAGGCAGCAGAUAGCGGCAGGAAGCCAGGACCCGGAAUCGGCUCAAGGUCACUUACUCACUGCAGCAGAUCUAUCCCGACCUGCAGCGACACACCCACAUACAGAUAAGGACCAUGACAUUACAAUUUGUUUAACUGCGUGUAAUGAAGAAAAGAAACAAAUCAAACAUAAAUAAUGGAAUAUUUGUCUUGAUCCCGUAUAAUAAACCUGAUAUUAUCCUGUGCACGCUCACCUUAAAAUCACAUUCAUAUUAUCAAGAAACAAUUUUGUGAAUAAAACUAGAUUGUGAAGCUGAGUCUCCACUGUUACAUUCUGCUAUCAUUGGAUGGUGCUCCUCUUGUUACUAUGGCGACAAGCACCUAGAGCCCCUCCACAGGCAGAUUGGAGGGGAUGAGAGCUGUGAUGACAUCACACAGACCGAGGAAUCACUGGCGUUUGGCCACAGAUGUGAUGUCAUGCCUGCAGGGUUUUCUAAGUGAUCCACAACAGAGGCGGAAAAAAGAGCCAUGACUCAGCGUUUAAUGGACAUCCUCAUGAAGUAAAAUGAUUGUACUCAAUAACCAAUUAUUAGCCCUAUUUGCUCAUUCUUAUGGUUAGUGACUUGAACAAACUUCUAAAUCUAAGUGUUAAGCUUUGACACGUAAUCUUCUCACACUAUUUUUUGCUAAGGACGUGAUUAAUAUCUCAAAUCGUCCAAUAAUAAUACCUUGUCCAAGUAAUCAGAUUUACUUUACCUCAUUUUUGCUAGCCAGAUAAUAAAAUUGGUGAAAUAAAUAAUUGAAGGGGAAACCCAAGCCCCAUCUACAGACA
This is a long non-coding RNA of Megalobrama amblycephala (Wuchang bream), 4783 nucleotides long. RefSeq lists it as uncharacterized. The record is from RefSeq and is a predicted model, not a curated record. The transcript is spliced from 3 exons. Lineage: Eukaryota; Metazoa; Chordata; Actinopteri; Cypriniformes; Xenocyprididae.